AUGAACGCUGGCGGCGUGCUUAACACAUGCAAGUCGAACGAUGAAGCCCAGCUUGCUGGGUGGAUUAGUGGCGAACGGGUGAGUAACACGUGAGUAACCUGCCCUUGACUCUGGGAUAAGCCUGGGAAACUGGGUCUAAUACUGGAUAUGACUUCUCAUCGCAUGGUGGGGGGUGGAGAGAUUUAUUGGUCUUGGAUGGACUCGCGGCCUAUCAGCUUGUUGGUGAGGUAAUGGCUCACCAAGGCGACGACGGGUAGCCGGCCUGAGAGGGUGACCGGCCACACUGGGACUGAGACACGGCCCAGACUCCUACGGGAGGCAGCAGUGGGGAAUAUUGCACAAUGGGCGCAAGCCUGAUGCAGCGACGCCGCGUGAGGGAUGACGGCCUUCGGGUUGUAAACCUCUUUCAGUAGGGAAGAAGCGAGAGUGACGGUACCUGCAGAAGAAGCGCCGGCUAACUACGUG
This 465-nucleotide ribosomal RNA is filed under the name uncultured bacterium. Its description in RNAcentral is "partial 16S ribosomal RNA". It matches the Rfam family "Bacterial small subunit ribosomal RNA", at positions 29 to 507 of the family's 1533-position model. The record is from RNAcentral.